This 377-nucleotide ribosomal RNA is filed under the name uncultured bacterium. RNAcentral describes it as "partial 16S ribosomal RNA". It matches the Rfam family "Bacterial small subunit ribosomal RNA", at positions 338 to 733 of the family's 1533-position model. The record is from RNAcentral.
CCUACGGGUGGCUGCAGUGGGGAAUAUUGCACAAUGGGCGAAAGCCUGAUGCAGCAACGCCGCGUGAGCGAUGAAGGCCUUCGGGUCGUAAAGCUCUGUCCGCAAGGAAGAUAAUGACGGUACUUGAGGAGGAAGCCCUGGCAAACUACGGCCCAGCAGACGCGGUAAUACGUAGUGGGCUAGCGUGAGCCGGAAUUACUGGUCGAAAGGGGUGCGGGGGUGGUUUUUUAAGUCAGAGGUGAAAGGCUACGGCUAAACCGUAGUAAGCCUUUGAAACUGGGGAACUUGAGUGCAGGAGAGGAGAGUGGAAUUCCUGGUGUAGCGGUGAAAUGCGUAGAUAUCAGGAGGAACACCGGUGGCGAAGGCGGCCUGCUGGA